UACGGGGGGAGCAAGCGUUGUUCGGAUUUACUGGGCGUAAAGGGCGCGUAGGCGGUCAGCACAAGUCAGUUGUGAAAUCUCCGGGCUUAACUCGGAAAGGUCAACUGAUACUGUGCGACUAGAGUGCAGAAGGGGCAACUGGAAUUCUCGGUGUAGCGGUGAAAUGCGUAGAUAUCGGAAGGAACGCCGGUGGCGAAAGCGAGCUGCUGGACCUUUUCUGACGCUGAUGCGCGAAAGCUAGGGGAGCAAACGGG
This 254-nucleotide ribosomal RNA is filed under the name uncultured bacterium. RNAcentral's name for it is "partial 16S ribosomal RNA". It matches the Rfam family "Bacterial small subunit ribosomal RNA", at positions 524 to 776 of the family's 1533-position model. The record is from RNAcentral.